CGAUGAACCACUUCGGUGGGGAUUAGUGGCGAACGGGUGAGUAACACGUGGGCAAUCUGCCCUGCACUCUGGGACAAGCCCUGGAAACGGGGUCUAAUACCGGAUAUUGACCUUCACGGGCAUCUGUGAGGUUCGAAAGCUCCGGCGGUGCAGGAUGAGCCCGCGGCCUAUCAGCUUGUUGGUGAGGUAAUGGCUCACCAAGGCGACGACGGGUAGCCGGCCUGAGAGGGCGACCGGCCACACUGGGACUGAGACACGGCCCAGACUCCUACGGGAGGCAGCAGUGGGGAAUAUUGCACAAUGGGCGAAAGCCUGAUGCAGCGACGCCGCGUGAGGGAUGACGGCCUUCGGGUUGUAAACCUCUUUCAGCAGGGAAGAAGCGAAAGUGACGGUACCUGCAGAAGAAGCGCCGGCUAACUACGUGCCAGCAGCCGCGGUAAUACGUAGGGCGCAAGCGUUGUCCGGAAUUAUUGGGCGUAAAGAGCUCGUAGGCGGCUUGUCACGUCGGUUGUGAAAGCCCGGGGCUUAACCCCGGGUCUGCAGUCGAUACGGGCAGGCUAGAGUUCGGUAGGGGAGAUCGGAAUUCCUGGUGUAGCGGUGAAAUGCGCAGAUAUCAGGAGGAACACCGGUGGCGAAGGCGGAUCUCUGGGCCGAUACUGACGCUGAGGAGCGAAAGCGUGGGGAGCGAACAGGAUUAGAUAC
RNAcentral lists this ribosomal RNA (702 nucleotides) under Actinomycetes bacterium. Its description in RNAcentral is "bacterial SSU rRNA". It matches the Rfam family "Bacterial small subunit ribosomal RNA", at positions 67 to 785 of the family's 1533-position model. Lineage: Bacteria; Bacillati; Actinomycetota; Actinomycetes. The record is from RNAcentral.